This 72-nucleotide transfer RNA is filed under the name Loxodonta africana (African savanna elephant). It matches the Rfam family "tRNA". From Rfam's summary of the family: Transfer RNA (tRNA) molecules are approximately 80 nucleotides in length. Their secondary structure includes four short double-helical elements and three loops (D, anti-codon, and T loops). Further hydrogen bonds mediate the characteristic L-shaped molecular structure. tRNAs have two regions of fundamental functional importance: the anti-codon, which is responsible for specific mRNA codon recognition, and the 3' end, to which the tRNAs corresponding amino acid is attached (by aminoacyl-tRNA synthetases). tRNAs cope with the degeneracy of the genetic code in two manners: having more than one tRNA (with a specific anti-codon) for a particular amino acid; and 'wobble' base-pairing, i.e. permitting non-standard base-pairing at the 3rd anti-codon position. The record is from Rfam by way of RNAcentral. Lineage: Eukaryota; Metazoa; Chordata; Mammalia; Proboscidea; Elephantidae.
GCUCUGGUGGCACGACAACCAAGCACUCAGCUGCUAACUGAAAGAUCGGUGGUUCGAAUCCACCCAGCAGCU